AUUGAACGCUGGCGGCAUGCCUUACACAUGCAAGUCGAACGGUAACGGGCCUUCGGGUGCCGACGAGUGGCGCACGGGUGAGUAAUACAUCGGAACGUGCCCGAUCGUGGGGGAUAACGAGGCGAAAGCUUUGCUAAUACCGCAUACGAUCUACGGAUGAAAGCAGGGGACCGCAAGGCCUUGCGCGGACGGAGCGGCCGAUGGCAGAUUAGGUAGUUGGUGGGAUAAAAGCUUACCAAGCCGACGAUCUGUAGCUGGUCUGAGAGGAUGAUCAGCCACACUGGGACUGAGACACGGCCCAGACUCCUACGGGAGGCAGCAGUGGGGAAUUUUGGACAAUGGGCGCAAGCCUGAUCCAGCCAUGCCGCGUGCAGGAUGAAGGCCUUCGGGUUGUAAACUGCUUUUGUACGGAACGAAAAGCCUUCUUUUAAUACAGGAGGGUCAUGACGGUACCGUAAGAAUAAGCUCCGGCUAACUACGUG
This 482-nucleotide ribosomal RNA is filed under the name uncultured bacterium. RNAcentral describes it as "partial 16S ribosomal RNA". It matches the Rfam family "Bacterial small subunit ribosomal RNA", at positions 30 to 507 of the family's 1533-position model. The record is from RNAcentral.